RNAcentral lists this ribosomal RNA (634 nucleotides) under uncultured Actinomycetales bacterium. Its description in RNAcentral is "bacterial SSU rRNA". It matches the Rfam family "Bacterial small subunit ribosomal RNA", at positions 95 to 742 of the family's 1533-position model. Lineage: Bacteria; Bacillati; Actinomycetota; Actinomycetes; Actinomycetales. The record is from RNAcentral.
GCGGCGGACGGGUGAGUAACACGUGGAUAACCUACCUAUAAGACUGGGAUAACUUCGGGAAACCGGAGCUAAUACCGGAUAGGAGCCAUCUUUAGUGUGGUGGUUGGAAAGUUUUUUCGGUGUAGGAUGAGCUCGCGGCCUAUCAGCUUGUUGGUGGGGUAAUGGCCUACCAAGGCGGCGACGGGUAGCCGGCCUGAGAGGGUGUACGGCCACAUUGGGACUGAGAUACGGCCCAGACUCCUACGGGAGGCAGCAGUGGGGAAUAUUGCACAAUGGGCGCAAGCCUGAUGCAGCGACGCCGCGUGGGGGAUGAAGGCCUUCGGGUUGUAAACUCCUUUCGCUAGGGACGAAGCUUUGUUGUGACGGUACCUAGAUAAGAAGCACCGGCUAACUACGUGCCAGCAGCCGCGGUAAUACGUAGGGUGCGAGCGUUGUCCGGAAUUACUGGGCGUAAAGGGCUCGUAGGUGGUUUGUCGCGUCGUCUGUGAAAUUCUGGGGCUUAACUCCGGGCGUGCAGGCGAUACGGGCAUAACUUGAGUGCUGUAGGGGUAACUGGAAUUCCUGGUGUAGCGGUGAAAUGCGCAGAUAUCAGGAGGAACACCGAUGGCGAAGGCAGGUUACUGGGCAGUUACUG